Molecule: long non-coding RNA, 1336 nt
Filed under: Phoenix dactylifera (date palm)
Lineage: Eukaryota; Viridiplantae; Streptophyta; Magnoliopsida; Arecales; Arecaceae
Description: long non-coding RNA (PDAC_LNC014995)
Source: RNAcentral
AGCUGCAUCGUGAUCUUCUUCAAAUGGACGCACGGGAUGAGACGAGAAGGAAGCUAGACACGCUGCUGAUUUUUUUCUUUAUUUUGAAUUCCAAUGCAUAAUUCCAAUGCACUCUAGGGACUGUGAUGUGCAGACAAGUGUUGCUCGGGUGCAAGUGUACUUGAUCAGAAUAAUUAUGCUCCAGCAUGAUCAGGUUCGGAGUUAUGCAUAAUCCCAAUCUGUACCAAAUACGCAUCUUAACUCUGAUUUACGAUCAUCUGCAUCCAACAAAAAAUAUAAUAUUAAUACAGCACUUCUAUCAUUAUUUGUUAGCAAUAAUACUAAUUUAAGUGAUGUGUAGAUCGCACUUUUAUACUCUCAUCACUAGGCAAGGCUUAAAGCGGCCCGCGCUAUCAAAUGAAGCGCUACGAGCUCGCCCCACAUGAGAUUUAUUUUUAAAUUAGGGAUGUACCGAACCCGGAGAUCCCUACAUGUACUAAGUGCAACCCCUGCUAUGCGAGAUGGGCCCGAGUCUGGGUUACAUAAUUCGGAUCUUAAUGUCCGAGCAUGAAACAAAACAAACUCAAAACACUUAUUAGAAGAAAAGGGCCUAAACAGCCAGCCUUACAAGAAUAAGAAUAAAAAUCAAUCGAAAUGGACGACCUCCGCAUUAGUGUCGGCUACGGCCUCCGGCUCGGUUACAACCUCGAGAGCGUUGUCCCCACCUACUUCGAUGGCUUCAGCUCCAGCGCCGGCGUCAGGAACGACUGAUGAUCCACCCGUUGGCAGCUUCGGGGGCAAUCUCCAGCCUGGCCUCGCCAAUGGCUUCGGCAGUUUCUUCUUCCACCUCAGCGGCCCCAUCUAGGUUUGGCUCAAGAUGCUGAGGUCGACUCCAGGGCAGAACUGCUGGACUUGGAGACGACAAUUGUCGAAACCCUGGCCCAUGGUAGCAGUAGCCCCUUCCGCUAGUUCGACAAUAUACUCCCCCGACUAACGAAAUUUCUCGACGGCCUCGCGGGCGGACAAUUCCACCAGGCCCUUGAGCCGCCCAAUCUUUAGCUCCCGCUCUUCCACCUCGCCCCGAAGGCGGACUAGAGCAGCUUCGAGCUCAGAAAUACGGCUCGCCGAGGAGGAGCGAGCCCGAGAAUGAUCAGCCUGCAUGAAUUCGGGGCAAGCUGCACAGGCACCAGGCCAUACUCCAUCAAAAGCUCACCCACAAACUUAUGCAGAGGGAAUCUCAACCUUGCUUAGAGUGUAUCUACGUACACCCCGACCCAACCGUUGGGUGGGUUGGUGACUCGGCCUCCGAAGUCCGGGAGCUCAAGCAUGAACUCCAGAGGAAUGAAGAAUCAGGCUU